Molecule: ribosomal RNA, 124 nt
Filed under: Pantoea stewartii
Lineage: Bacteria; Pseudomonadati; Pseudomonadota; Gammaproteobacteria; Enterobacterales; Erwiniaceae
Description: partial 16S ribosomal RNA
Rfam family: Bacterial small subunit ribosomal RNA
Source: RNAcentral
AGAAGUAGGUAGCUUAACCUCCGGGAGGGCGCUUACCACUUUGUGAUUCAUGACUGGGGUGAAGUCGUAACAAGGUAACCGUAGGGGAACCUGCGGUUGGAUCACCUCCUUACCUGAAGAUACC